UACGGGGGGAGCAAGCGUUGUUCGGAUUUACUGGGCGUAAAGGGCGCGUAGGCGGCGCAACAAGUCAGCUGUGAAAUCUCCGGGCUUAACCCGGAGCGGCCAGCUGAUACUGUCGUGCUAGAGUGCGGAAGGGGCUACUGGAAUUCUCGGUGUAGCGGUGAAAUGCGUAGACAUCGAGAGGAACACCUGUGGCGAAGGCGGGUAGCUGGAACGCAACUGACGCUGAGACGCGAAAGCGUGGGGAGCAAACAGG
RNAcentral lists this ribosomal RNA (253 nucleotides) under uncultured bacterium. Its description in RNAcentral is "partial 16S ribosomal RNA". It matches the Rfam family "Bacterial small subunit ribosomal RNA", at positions 524 to 776 of the family's 1533-position model. The record is from RNAcentral.